Molecule: ribosomal RNA, 229 nt
Filed under: uncultured bacterium
Lineage: Bacteria
Description: partial 16S ribosomal RNA
Rfam family: Bacterial small subunit ribosomal RNA
Source: RNAcentral
UCCGUAGGUGGAUGAUUAAGUCAGAGGUGAAAUCCUGCAGCUCAACUGUAGAAUUGCCUUUGAUACUGGUCAUCUUGAAUUAUUGUGAAGUGGUUAGAAUAUGUAGUGUAGCGGUGAAAUGCAUAGAUAUUACAUAGAAUACCAAUUGCGAAGGCAGAUCACUAACAAUAUAUUGACACUGAUGGACGAAAGCGUGGGGAGCGAACAGGAUUAGAUACCCUGGUAGUCC